Molecule: non-coding RNA, 207 nt
Organism: Pelobates cultripes (western spadefoot toad)
Lineage: Eukaryota; Metazoa; Chordata; Amphibia; Anura; Pelobatidae
Source: the annotation of a GenBank genome assembly
AUUUUUCUAAGGUUUUAUGGACUGAUGAAAUGAGAGUGAGUCUUGAUGGGCCAGAUGGAUGGGCCCGUGGCUGGAUUGGUAAAGGGCAGAGAGCUCCAGUCCGACUCAGACGCCAGCAAGGUGGAGGCGGAGUACUGGUUUGGGCUGGUAUCAUCAAAGAUGAGCUUGUGGGGCCUUUUCGGGUUGAGGAUGGAGUCAAGCUCAACU